UGGGGAAUAUUGCACAAUGGGCGCAAGCCUGAUGCAGCCAUGCCGCGUGUGUGAAGAAGGCCUUCGGGUUGUAAAGCACUUUCAGCGAGGAGGAAGGUGGUGAGCUUAAUACGCUCAUCAAUUGACGUUACUCGCAGAAGAAGCACCGGCUAACUCCGUGCCAGCAGCCGCGGUAAUACGGAGGGUGCAAGCGUUAAUCGGAAUUACUGGGCGUAAAGCGCACGCAGGCGGUUUGUUAAGUCAGAUGUGAAAUCCCCGGGCUCAACCUGGGAACUGCAUUUGAAACUGGCAAGCUAGAGUCUCGUAGAGGGGGGUAGAAUUCCAGGUGUAGCGGUGAAAUGCGUAGAGAUCUGGAGGAAUACCGGUGGCGAAGGCGGCCCCCCUGGACGAAGACUGACGCUCAGGUGCGAAAGCGUGGGGAGCAAAACAGGAUUAGAUACCCUGGUAGUCCACGCUGUAAAACGAUGUCGAUUUUGGAGGUUGUGCCCUUGAGGCGUGGCUUCCGGAGCUAACGCGUUAAAUCGACCGCCUGGGGAGUACGGCC
This 544-nucleotide ribosomal RNA is filed under the name uncultured bacterium. RNAcentral's name for it is "partial 16S ribosomal RNA". It matches the Rfam family "Bacterial small subunit ribosomal RNA", at positions 355 to 887 of the family's 1533-position model. The record is from RNAcentral.